This 1155-nucleotide long non-coding RNA is filed under the name Monodelphis domestica (gray short-tailed opossum). RNAcentral describes it as "lncRNA (ENSMODG00000045172.1)". Lineage: Eukaryota; Metazoa; Chordata; Mammalia; Didelphimorphia; Didelphidae. The record is from RNAcentral.
UUAUAAUGGGCACCCCCGGCUUGGGAACAAACCUUUCUUACAGGCGUUAUCAGUUCAAGUGCGCACAGCUCGAGAACCAUUUAUUGGAGCCUGGAGCCAAAAAUAGACGGAACCUGCAGGUGGCCUCUGGGACUGUAAGAGACCCAAGGGGAUGAUAACGUUGGGUCGAGGUCUCGUCUGUAUGUUGACAGAUAGUGGAAACAUCUGGUCACCCACAAAGCACAUCAUGCCAGCCAACACAAGACCAGGAAGAGAAGCAGACCAACGCUGUUGACAUCAGCUAACUACACGCCAGCCACUCUCCAGGCACGCUGGAAGGACACUUCACCGGUCACUAAGAUCACUCCAGAAGACUGACAUGACACUAUUAGUGACAUUAGCUAUUAGGCUACUGUGGGACACUGGUCCGGCUGACAUCCAUUGAUAUAGUGUACCCAAACCAAGAGCAAGGAUGCUAACUCAGAAGGACUAAACCACACUUGUGUCUGUCUAAGACAUCAGAUAAAUCCCACACUCCGAGGUCUUUCUUAUGGAAUCAAAACAAAAUAGCUACACUUGUUUAGACGUGAAUGUAUACCUUUCAUUUUGUAUGUCUAUGAUACUGUCAAAAGGAUACAUUGUAAACCUACUACUAGUAUUGUAAGAAAUGCUACUAUCACCGAGGGUAUAGACAUUGGUAUGACUCUCCAAAGAGGAGGAUAUCGAAAACUUUCACUCAUAGCAUAGAUCUGAUACCUCUGACAACAAAAAGUGAGGUGCCAGGCAGAAAAUGCUACACAGGCAGGUUUAAUGGACAGGUGAUCCUGAUGUGACUCUGGAAAAAAGGUAUGAGAGAUCAGCCAAAAUGCACUCUGAAACCUGUCAUCAGGAACCUAAGUUAUUGAAAAAGAUCAUUUACAUCCAUGCAAAGAUUAUGUUCCUGCCAAUACCUAGGUGGACUUUACGUGCCAACCACCGUGGGUGUACUUGAGUGUUAGGACCAUUGUUAACCAAUACUCCGGAAACCCUGUCUUUUGGGGUAAUAUCUUUAUGGGAACGGUUUCUUGCUCCCUCCCAAUAGUCCCAGAUUUCAGGCAGGCCACUGGAUUCGGGGUCUAUUGGCUUCCCAUUCUAAUACUGAAAGACAUUCUGGUAUUGGAAAGCAAAGCCUCAGUG